GGAGAGUAAUGCAGCGGGGGUGGCCCGCGACCGGCCUUGAAAGCCGGGUAGCCGUUAUGGAGCUUGGGGUUCGAUCCCUCUGCUCUCCG
Molecule: transfer RNA, 89 nt
Filed under: Mycobacterium phage Finemlucis
Lineage: Duplodnaviria; Heunggongvirae; Uroviricota; Caudoviricetes; Vilmaviridae
Description: tRNA-Ser
Source: RNAcentral